RNAcentral lists this ribosomal RNA (789 nucleotides) under uncultured bacterium. RNAcentral's name for it is "bacterial SSU rRNA". It matches the Rfam family "Bacterial small subunit ribosomal RNA", at positions 559 to 1354 of the family's 1533-position model. The record is from RNAcentral.
CGUAAGCUGUGCUCAUGCGGUUCUCUAGGGCGAUGUGACCUCCCCGGGCUUAGCCUGUGGCUGCAUUGGUGACUGGCGGGGUAGAGUAUGGCUCAGGGGGGUAGAAGUGCAGGGGUAACAGGGAAAUGUGUGUAAAUGUGGAGGAGUGCCGAUGGCGCAAUGUAUCCCCCUGGGCCAAUACUGACGCUCAUGCACGAAAGCGUGGGGAGCUAACUUGAGUAGAUACCCUGGAACUCCACACCCUAAACGAUGUCUACUAGUUGUCGGGCCUUCAUUGACUGGGGAGGUGCUUUUCUUGUGAAGUUGACCGCCUGGGGAGUACGGUUGCAACAUUAGAACUCAUAUGAAUUGACGGGGACCCGCACGAGCGGUGGAUGAUGUGGAUUACUUCCAUGCAACGCCAAAAACCUUACCUACCCUUGACAUCGACCGAACCUUGUUUAUAUGUCAGGGUGCUCGAAACGAAACCAUAACACAGGUGUUGUGUGGCUGUCGUCGGCUCGUGUCGUGAGAUGUAGGCUUAAGUCCCGCAACGAACGCAACCCUUGUCCCUAGUUGCUAUUAUUAGCACUCUCUGGAGACUGCCAGUGACAAACCGGAGGAUGGUGGAGAUGACGUCAACUCCUCAUGUCUCCUCAUGGUCAGGGGCUACAGACGUCCUAUAUGGUCUGAGCAGGUGGGUUUGCAUGGUCGCGAGUAGUAGCAUUCCGAGAGACAACUAUCGUAGUCUGAUGCUAGUCUUCGACUCGAUGUCGUGAGGCUGGAUCGCUGGCUAAUCGCGGAUCAGCA